RNAcentral lists this ribosomal RNA (274 nucleotides) under uncultured bacterium. RNAcentral's name for it is "partial 16S ribosomal RNA". It matches the Rfam family "Bacterial small subunit ribosomal RNA", at positions 523 to 796 of the family's 1533-position model. The record is from RNAcentral.
AUACGGAGGGUGCGAGCGUUAAUCGGAAUUACUGGGCGUAAAGGGUGCGUAGGCGGCUUGAUAAGUCGGAUGUGAAAGCCCCGGGCUUAACCUGGGAAUUGCAUUCGAUACUGUCAGGCUAGAGUAUGUCAGAGGUUGGCGGAAUUCCUGGUGUAGCGGUGAAAUGCGUAGAUAUCAGGAGGAACACCAGUGGCGAAGGCGGCUAACUGGGACAAUACUGACGCUGAGGCACGAAAGCGUGGGGAGCAAACAGGAUUAGAAACCCUUGUAGUCC